Molecule: ribosomal RNA, 461 nt
Filed under: uncultured bacterium
Lineage: Bacteria
Description: partial 16S ribosomal RNA
Rfam family: Bacterial small subunit ribosomal RNA
Source: RNAcentral
CCUACGGGUGGCUGCAGUGAGGAAUAUUGGUCAAUGGGCGCGAGCCUGAACCAGCCAAGUCGCGUGAGUGAGGACGGCCCUACGGGUUGUAAACCUCUUUUGCCGGGGAGCAACGGGCGUCACGUGUGGCGCCACUGAGAGUACCUGGAGAAAAAGCAUCGGCUAACUCCGUGCCAGCAGCCGCGGUAAUACGUAGGAGGCGAGCGUUAUCCGGAAUGACUGGGCGUAAAGGGUGCGUAGGUGGUUUGGCAAGUUAGUAGCGUAACUCCAAGGCUCAACCUUGGAACUACUACUAAAACUGUUGGACUUGAGUGCAGGAGGGGCAACCGGAAUUACUAGUGUAGCGGUGGAAUGCGUAGAUAUUAGGAGGAACACCAGUGGCGAAGGCGGGUUGCUAGACUGUAACUGACACUGAGGCACGAAAGCGUGGGGAGCAAACAGGAUUAGAUACCCCAGUAGUC